This is a long non-coding RNA of Eptesicus fuscus (big brown bat), 418 nucleotides long. RefSeq lists it as uncharacterized. NCBI's taxonomy places the organism in Eukaryota, Metazoa, Chordata, Mammalia, Chiroptera, Vespertilionidae. The transcript has 2 exons. The record is from RefSeq and is a predicted model, not a curated record.
GCACGAAUUUGCAGCUACAACAAGAUACAAUUAAAGAUAUAAUUAAAGGUAUCAACUCUUCAGGCCCAGGACCAUACCUCCAGUAUUUAGCUGGAAUUAAGGGAAGUGGGUAAGAUCACUUUUACAGAUGAAGAAUGCACUCACUCAGCAACUUACUGCCCGCCUAUCUGAAGUGAUUUAGUCCCUGAAGCCAAGAAGAAACAGGAAGAAGUUACAAAGGAAAGAGGAAGGACAAAAUGGGUCUUGUGGUGCUGGCCUGGAAGCUUGCUUCCCCUCUCUGCUCCCGGCCACGUGAGGAUGCAGGAAGUCGGCAGUGUACAAACCAGAAGAGGGCCCUCACCAGAACUCAAAAUGCUGGCACCCUGAUCUCUGACUUCCAGCCUCCAGAACUGUGAGAAAUAAAGUUCUGUUAUUUGUA